Molecule: ribosomal RNA, 349 nt
Filed under: uncultured bacterium
Lineage: Bacteria
Description: partial 16S ribosomal RNA
Rfam family: Bacterial small subunit ribosomal RNA
Source: RNAcentral
CCUACGGGGGGCAGCAGUGGGGGAUAUUGGACAAUGGGGGAAACCCUGAUCCAGCGACGCCGCGUGAGGGAAGAAGGAUUUCGGGAUGUAAAGCUCUAUCAGCAGGGAAGAAAGAAAUGACGGUACCGGAGUAAGAAGCCACGGCUAACUACGUGCCAGCAGCCGCGGUAAUACGUAGGGGGCAAGCGUUAGCCGGAAUUACUGGGUGUAAAGGGAGCGUAGACGGUAAGGCAAGUCUGGAGUGAAGGGCGGGGGCCCACCCCCCGGACUGCUCUUGAAACUGUGUAACUGGAGUGCAGGAGAGGCAGUCGGAAUUCCUAGUGUAGCGGUGACAUGCGUCGAUAUUCGG